This 73-nucleotide transfer RNA is filed under the name Candidatus Obscuribacterales bacterium. RNAcentral's name for it is "tRNA-OTHER". Lineage: Bacteria; Bacillati; Candidatus Melainabacteria; Candidatus Obscuribacterales. The record is from RNAcentral.
GGGUAGGCAUGUGCCAAGGCGGCGACGAAGUUUUGCAAACUUCGUGCGGUGAGUUCGAUUCUCAUCCUAUCCA